This 400-nucleotide ribosomal RNA is filed under the name phytoplankton environmental sample. RNAcentral describes it as "partial small subunit ribosomal RNA". It matches the Rfam family "Eukaryotic small subunit ribosomal RNA", at positions 587 to 989 of the family's 1831-position model. The record is from RNAcentral.
AGCUCCAAUAGUGUAUACUAAAAUUGCUGCAGUUAAAAAGCUCGUAGUUGGAUUACAAAAGACUUCACGCCGCUUCUUCGCAGUUCGCUGCGUUGAGACGGUUGCAAGUCUUUUUUAUCGUGAGAGCCAUGUAUGAAAUUCACUUUUUGUGCAUGGUCACUCACGGAGUGUGCCUUGAAUAAACCAAAGUGCUCAAAACAGGCGUCACGCUCGAAUGUAAUAGCAUGGUACGAAUAGUUCUGACUAGUCAGUUUCUGUUGGUUGCUGAUUUGGUCUCGAUUAAAAGGGACAUUUGAGGGCGUUAGUACUUAGUGGCGAGAGGUGAAAUUCAUUGACCCACUAAAGACUCACUAUUGCGAAAGCAUUCGCCAAGACUGUUUUCAUUAAUCAAGAACGAAAG